AUAGAAUAAUACGUGAGGAGGAGCAGGGAAAUGAAAACUUAGCGCCAAACAACCACUAAUCGUCUUCAAUUUCCCAUAGAAAAUCGAAACGUCUUCCGACACUUGGAAACAUGUUGUCGAUUGGAUGCCUAGAAGUUGCGUCUCUGAUAAAUAAAAGAAAGUGCAAUGGUAUGGCUGGAUCAAUCUCGAAAGUACAUUGAUGUGGCUAGCUUAUUUUCAAAAGCUGAAUGUUGCUAUUUUCAUUAUUAAUUUAAUAAUUUUUGGUGAUGUAACUUGUAGUAGUUAUUACUUUAAUUUUACCCAUAUUAUUUUCCAGCCACAAUUGGCUUUUUUGUUAUUUAAUUUAGCUUUGUACUUUAAAAAAAUGUUCUCCUAAAAGCUGUUUUAUUUUUAUUAUUUAUUAUUUUGAUUAUUAUUUGCUUUUUAAGAGGAAUAGUUAGGGGUUGUUUGAUAUGCUCAUGGUAGAUUCUAAAUGGCCUUGAUAUCUCUCAAAUAUGAUAUGGGGUUUAUUUUUUUGCCCAAGCUGGUAUGUUUUUUGAUCGCUUCAAUGAAAGUUUGAAGUUAAGUAUGAUUUGGAUGUUUUUAUAGCCUUUGUUUAUGGUCUCGUAAGUGUUGCAGUAGCUUCAAAAUUCUGUUGUUGUUGCACAUUUGGUGCAAAGUACAUGUCUUUAGAUGUUAGCCCCAUAAAGUUCAUUGUCUUUUUCUAAACAAAUUUUGAUUGACCUCUACUACGAGUUUUUUAGUUUUAGUUGCUUUUUUGUUGUCUAUUUUAACGAUUGCGUGUACAUAUUGUUUUUGGUUGUAUUUUUACAAAUAUUUGAAUACAAAUAUAUAUUGAACUUCUGUUUUAUACAUGUUAGCUAUGUAUGUAUUUGGUGUAUUGUAUGGUACAAGCAUGGGGGCAUUAUGAUUUUCAUCUCGCCCGGGGCAUAGAAAACCAAUGGACCGGCCCUGGUGAAUGCAAUACAGAGCAUGAUUGUUGACGGCGCCUUCUUCCCCAAAUCCUUAUAGGGCAUUUGAUUCGUCAUAUUACCCUCGAUCUUCUGCUCUCAAUUCUCAAGUAACUCUCUCUCACUCUCUCACGUCGUCUGACCACUACCAUCAGAACUAACAAAUGGUAGCGUUAUACCGCACCACCAUAAGAAUACUCAUCAUCUGGGUCGACUACAUGUUGGUGGGGCUUGGGCAAGGUAUCUCUAUCAAUUGAACUGAAAGAUAAACUAUAACCAAAACCAAAAUGAAGUUGAAUUUUUAGAAUUUGUUGGAUUUUGUGAGUUCUUUUUCAUGUAGGUAUUUGUAGAAAUUCACAUUUGUGCAAUACAUUAAACGCAUUGUAGUUGUAAAGGCUAAUGAAAUUUCAAAAUCAUGAAG
Non-coding RNA from Lactuca sativa (garden lettuce), 1371 nucleotides. The record is from RefSeq and is a predicted model, not a curated record. Lineage: Eukaryota; Viridiplantae; Streptophyta; Magnoliopsida; Asterales; Asteraceae.